AGGGAAGCAACAUCGCGAGGUGAAGCAAAUCCCAAAAAAGUGUCUCAGUUCAGAUUGUAGGCUGCAACUCGCCUACAUGAAGUCGGAAUUGCUAGUAAUCGCGGAUCAGCAUGCCGCGGUGAAUACGUUCCCGGGCCUUGUACACACCGCCCGUCACACCAUGAGAGCCGGUAACACCCGAAGUCAGUAGCCUAACCGCAAGGGGGGCGCUGCCGAAGGUGGGAUUGGUAAUUGGGGUGAAGUCGUAACAAGGUACC
This 257-nucleotide ribosomal RNA is filed under the name uncultured bacterium. Its description in RNAcentral is "partial 16S ribosomal RNA". It matches the Rfam family "Bacterial small subunit ribosomal RNA", at positions 1243 to 1500 of the family's 1533-position model. The record is from RNAcentral.